RNAcentral lists this ribosomal RNA (472 nucleotides) under uncultured organism. RNAcentral's name for it is "partial 16S ribosomal RNA". It matches the Rfam family "Bacterial small subunit ribosomal RNA", at positions 335 to 798 of the family's 1533-position model. The record is from RNAcentral.
ACUCCUACGGGAGGCAGCAGUGGGGAAUUUUGGACAAUGGGCGAAAGCCUGAUCCAGCAAUGCCGCGUGCGUGAAGAAGGCCUUCGGGUUGUAAAGCACUUUUGUCCGGAAAGAAAUCCUUGGCUCUAAUACAGUCGGGGGAUGACGGUACCGGAAGAAUAAGCACCGGCUAACUACGUGCCAGCAGCCGCGGUAAUACGUAGGGUGCGAGCGUUAAUCGGAAUUACUGGGCGUAAAGCGUGCGCAGGCGGUUUGCUAAGACCGAUGUGAAAUCCCCGGGCUCAACCUGGGAACUGCAUUGGUGACUGGCAGGCUAGAGUAUGGCAGAGGGGGGUAGAAUUCCACGUGUAGCAGUGAAAUGCGUAGAGAUGUGGAGGAAUACCGAUGGCGAAGGCAGCCCCCUGGGCCAAUACUGACGCUCAUGCACGAAAGCGUGGGGAGCAAACAGGAUUAGAAACCCUAGUAGUCCCAU